RNAcentral lists this long non-coding RNA (330 nucleotides) under Ananas comosus (pineapple). RNAcentral describes it as "long non-coding RNA (ACOM_LNC021604)". The record is from RNAcentral. Lineage: Eukaryota; Viridiplantae; Streptophyta; Magnoliopsida; Poales; Bromeliaceae.
AUUGAUUUUAACUUUGUAAUCAAACUGUUUGAAAUAUUGUAGAUAAAUUUUACGAACCAAGUUAGUUGACUAAAUUUUAACACAUCGUUGAUGUAAAAGUAAUACGACAUCUUUAUUAUUAGCGAUUUAUCAAUCACACUGCUACUAUAUCGGCUCUAUAUUUAUAUGACUUGAUGACAAUAAUUACUAAAUAAAUUCAAGAUAAAAGUGUAUAGAACUUUUCAAAAUUUUGAUUCUAUUACUCAUUCUUUCAAUUUUUUCGAUUCGAGUCAGUUAACUACACUUUGACUUUAAAUUUGACUACACCAGUAGUAUAUUUCAUGUAAGUUU